UUGAAGAAUGGGGGGGAUUGGAGAAUAGGGUUUCAAAUAAGUAACCUCAAGAACGUUAGGCUUUGUUAGCAACUAUAGAGAAAAGGAAAUUACUAAAAUAAGCUUUGCCAGAACCUCCUGAUGGUUACUGAUAUGACUGAACAAAGUGAUGAAGAAAUAACCACCAGGGGUCUGAAAGCCCACUACCACAUUUUUGUGUGCAUACAGGAGGCAUUCUCUAAAAGUAUGAUGUAAUGUGUGUAAUCUAAUGAAUAUGUAUGUUUAAGGACAAUAUAAUCACAGCCUGAUUGAUGCUUCGGAGAGACAUGCUUGGAGGAGAGAUCCCCUGUGUCUCACAGCACCACAAUAAAGAAUGCCUACUUGUCAACUUAAAAGUUUGUUGGCAAGUUCCUGGAGAUUUCUUCAAAUCAAUUUGGCACCCCAGAUGGGACACUCUGUGCUUGGCUGCAGGACCCACUGAGGACAGGGCUCCCUAGGGCCUCUGGGACAAAUUUCCCCAGAGAGACCCUUCAACUCACUCAGAUCACUGCAGGAGCAGACAGGGACCAUCACCAUCACUGUAAAGAAAAUUAAUGAGAACCUUCCUGAAACAGAAGAAGUCUUUAACCAUGUAUAUCCAGGAGUAUGGGCAUCUGAAAUUCCAGGUAAGGCAAAAAAUGCUUUGCCUAUUAAAGUAGAAACAAAAAGGAGGGCCCGUCCAGUUAGAAUAUGGAGGAUUAGUUAAAAUUCGAGGAUUGGAAGGGAAUCAAAGAAAUCAUUGAUAAAUGUUUAAAAUAUGGCUUAUUAAUUGAAUGUGAGUAAGAAUGUAAUACUUCUAUCCUGCCAGUAAAGAAAUCUGAUGGGAAAAAUUGCAGAUUAGUUCAAGAUCUCAGAGCAAUCAUCAAAAUUGUGGAGGAUAUUCAUCCAGUAGUAGCUAAUCCAUAUACCUUAUUGACUAAAUUGAAUAUCAAAAGUGGUUUACCAUUCUGGACUUAAAGGAUGCAUUUUUCUGUCUGCCCCUGGACAAAGAAAGUCAAAAUUUCUUUGCUUUUGAAUGGGAAAACCCUGAAACAGGAAGAAGGACACAGCUCACUUGGACGGUGUUACCUCAGGGCUUUAAAACCAGUCCAACCAUUUUUGGAAAUCAGUUGGCGUGAGAAUUAGAAUCCUGGGAAGCACCCACACAGGCAAGUACUUUACUACAAUAUGUUGAUGACCUAUUAAUUGCUACCGAAACUGAAAAAGAAUGUGUUCAAUGGACUGUAGAAUUGUUAAGCUUACUAGGGCUAAAUGGAUACCGGGUAUCUAAAUUGAAGGCUCAACUAAUUUGAACUCGAGUGUCUUAUUUAGGGUAAGAAAUAACAGGAGGACAGCAAGAACUUGAAGCAGCUUGGAAGGAAGCAAUCUGCCAAAAACUACAACCAGCCACAGUUAAAGAUCUUAGGACAUUUCCAGGAAUGACAGGAUGGUGUCAACUCUGGACCCAUGUUUAUGGUGUUCUGAGACAGUAUAUUCGAGCCAACCAGAUCUGAAGGAGGAGCCUCUGGAGAGUGCAGAUUCCUGGUUCACCGAUGGCAGCAGCUUUGUUAAAGAGGGUAAACGAAGAGCAGGAUAUGCCAUAACUACAACUUCAAAGGUAAUAGAAGCUAAACUGUUACCCUCUAACACCUCAGCACAAAAGGUAGAAAUAAUAGACCUGGCUAGAGCCUUGGAGUUGGCAAAGGAUAAGCAGAUAAACAUAUGGACUGACUCCAAAUAUGCCUUUGGUGUAGUUCAUGCACAUGGAGCAAUUUAGAAAGAAUGAGGACUUUUAAAUACUCAGGGAAGACAAAUUAAACAUGCAACAGAAAUUCUACCAUUGUUAGAAGCUGUACAAUUACCAAAUGAAGUGGCUAUCAUACAUUGUAAAGGACAUCAAAGAGGUAACUCUGGUCAAGAGACUGGAAAUAAUUUGGCUGAUCGUGAGGCUAAAUGGGCAGCAGAAACAGAAAGAGUUGAGGUGAUGUCUUUAGUUCCUGACAGUAAACUGGUAAUUGGGCAAAAUAAACCUAGGUACUCUAAAGAAGGUACAAAAGUAAUUGAAGACUU
Molecule: long non-coding RNA, 2067 nt
Organism: Pezoporus occidentalis (night parrot)
Lineage: Eukaryota; Metazoa; Chordata; Aves; Psittaciformes; Psittacidae
Exons: 3
Source: RefSeq, a predicted model, not a curated record